Molecule: ribosomal RNA, 454 nt
Filed under: uncultured bacterium
Lineage: Bacteria
Description: partial 16S ribosomal RNA
Rfam family: Bacterial small subunit ribosomal RNA
Source: RNAcentral
GAUGAACGCUGACAGAAUGCUUAACACAUGCAAGUCGACUUGAACGUUGGUUAGGGUGGCGGACGGGCGAGUAACGCGUAAAGAACUUGCCUCACAGGUAGGGACAACAUUAGGAAACGAAUGCUAAUACCUGAUAGUAUGAUUUUAGGGCAUCUUAGAUUUAUGACAGCGAUCGGCGCUGUGAGACGGCUUUGCGUCCAAUUAGCUAGUUGGAGAGGUAACGGCACACAAAGGCGAUGAUGGGUAGCCGGCCUGGGAGUGUGACCGGCCACAAGGGGCCGGGGACACGGCCAUUAGGCAAACGGGAGGAAGCGGUGGAAAAUAGUGGAAGAAGGACCAAGAGUGUGAUGCAGGUAUUCUGUGUGCAAGAUGAAGUUUUUCGGGAUGUACAGUGCUGUAAGUUGGGAAGCAAAACAUGACGGUACCAACAGAAGAAGUGACGGCUAAAUACGUG